UCGGGGGAUCCCAGCAAUGGGGGAACCGGCGUAAGGGGCAGUAAGGCGUGGGUACCUGCCCCGGGGCCCGGGAUAGCCGUCCGAGAGGGCGGGUAAUACCGGAUGACCUCGGGAGAGCAAAGGUUUACCGCCCCGGGAGGGGCCCACGUGGUAUUAGGUGGUUGGCGGGGUAACGGCCCACCAAGCCUGAGAUGCCUAGCGGGUGUGAGAGCACGACCCGCGCCACUGGCACUGAGACACUGGCCAGACACCUACGGGUGGCUGCAGUCGAGGAUCUUCGGCAAUGGGCGCAAGCCUGACCGAGCGAUGCCGCGUGUGCGACGAAGGCCUUCGGGUUGUAAAGCACUGUCGAGGGGGAGAAAACCCUAACCGGUUGAUCUAUCCCUGGAGGAAGCUCGGGCUAAGUUCGUGCCAGCAGCCGCGGUAAGACGAACCGAGCGAAC
This 443-nucleotide ribosomal RNA is filed under the name uncultured bacterium. Its description in RNAcentral is "bacterial SSU rRNA". It matches the Rfam family "Bacterial small subunit ribosomal RNA", at positions 62 to 539 of the family's 1533-position model. The record is from RNAcentral.